This 72-nucleotide transfer RNA is filed under the name Loxodonta africana (African savanna elephant). It matches the Rfam family "tRNA". Rfam says of the family: Transfer RNA (tRNA) molecules are approximately 80 nucleotides in length. The record is from Rfam by way of RNAcentral. Lineage: Eukaryota; Metazoa; Chordata; Mammalia; Proboscidea; Elephantidae.
GCAGUGGUAGUUCAGUGGUGGUAAUUCUCACCUUCCAUGCAGGAGGCCCAGGUCUGAUUCCUGGCCAGUGCA